ACUGAUUCAAGGUGCGAUAUCUUAUCUAAUCAUUUUUCUCUUCUCUCAAGUCUGGUGUUAAACCCAUAUCUAUGAAUUGUAGAUCUCUAUACAUUACUUCUAAAUUAGUUAUGUGUUUAUUAAGAAAAUACAAACUUAUAAUAACAAACACAAGAUUUAAGUACAAUAAAUAUGAAUAAUUGACUGAUAAGGUUUAUCAUAAUGUCAUAACUGGUAAUGGUUUUGAAAGACUGAUAAGAUUACACUGGACUACAGCUAGGCAGCCUCAGAAAGGGAAUCACAUAUGUUUUUAUUCUAUACAUUUUAUUUUGUCUACUUUUCUUAUUUCUGAACAGUAACUUGAGAAUGCCUCUCUUUCUAUUGUCUAAAAAUAAAAACUAAGCUUCAACCUCAUCUAAUAACUAAGCCAUUGUUUCUUGGUUGAUCAGGUGCAAUGUUGACUCUGCUGGAUAUAGAGGGCAGACAUAUUAUGCUAGCUUUGUGCAGCAGCAUGGAAGGAUGAUCAUGGAAACAGUUAUGACUUUAAAGUUUGUGAAGAUGUGAACCCAUUGACUUUUACAAAUGUGAGCAUUAUGAAAACGUUAGAUUC
Procambarus clarkii (red swamp crayfish) is the source of this 589-nucleotide non-coding RNA. The record is from RefSeq and is a predicted model, not a curated record. NCBI's taxonomy places the organism in Eukaryota, Metazoa, Arthropoda, Malacostraca, Decapoda, Cambaridae.